AGAGUUUGAUCAUGGCUCAGAUUGAACGCUGGCGGAAUGCUUUACACAUGCAAGUCGAACGGCAGCACGGGUGCUUGCACCUGGUGGCGAGUGGCGAACGGGUGAGUAAUGCGUCGGAACGUGCCGAGUAAUGGGGGAUAACGCAGCGAAAGCUGUGCUAAUACCGCAUACGCCCUGAGGGGGAAAGUGGGGGAUCGCAAGACCUCACGUUAUUCGAGCGGCCGACGUCUGAUUAGCUAGUUGGUGGGGUAAAGGCCUACCAAGGCGACGAUCAGUAGCGGGUCUGAGAGGAUGAUCCGCCACACUGGGACUGAGACACGGCCCAGACUCCUACGGGAGGCAGCAGUGGGGAAUUUUGGACAAUGGGGGCAACCCUGAUCCAGCCAUUCCGCGUGAGUGAAGAAGGCCUUCGGGUUGUAAAGCUCUUUCAGCCGGAACGAAACGGUAGAGGCUAAUACUCCCUGCUAAUGACGGUACCGGCAGAAGAAGCACCGGCUAACUACGUGCCAGCAGCCGCGGUAAUACGUAGGGUGCGAGCGUUAAUCGGAAUUACUGGGCGUAAAGCGUGCGCAGGCGGAUUGUUAAGCAAGAUGUGAAAGCCCCGGGCUUAACCUGGGAAUGGCAUUUUGAACUGGCAGUCUAGAGUGCGUCAGAGGGGGGUGGAAUUCCACGUGUAGCAGUGAAAUGCGUAGAGAUGUGGAGGAACACCGAUGGCGAAGGCAGCCCCCUGGGAUGACACUGACGCUCAUGUACGAAAGCGUGGGUAGCAAACAGGAUUAGAUACCCUAGUAGUCC
Molecule: ribosomal RNA, 795 nt
Filed under: uncultured bacterium
Lineage: Bacteria
Description: bacterial SSU rRNA
Rfam family: Bacterial small subunit ribosomal RNA
Source: RNAcentral